UGAGGUUUCUAGCCUGAAGCUGCAGUCUCAAU
RNAcentral lists this non-coding RNA (32 nucleotides) under Rattus norvegicus (Norway rat). The record is from RNAcentral. Lineage: Eukaryota; Metazoa; Chordata; Mammalia; Rodentia; Muridae.